This 1498-nucleotide ribosomal RNA is filed under the name Lactiplantibacillus plantarum. RNAcentral describes it as "Lactobacillus plantarum partial 16S ribosomal RNA". It matches the Rfam family "Bacterial small subunit ribosomal RNA". Lineage: Bacteria; Bacillati; Bacillota; Bacilli; Lactobacillales; Lactobacillaceae. The record is from RNAcentral.
GAUCCUGGCUCAGGACGAACGCUGGCGGCGUGCCUAAUACAUGCAAGUCGAACGAACUCUGGUAUUGAUUGGUGCUUGCAUCAUGAUUUACAUUUGAGUGAGUGGCGAACUGGUGAGUAACACGUGGGAAACCUGCCCAGAAGCGGGGGAUAACACCUGGAAACAGAUGCUAAUACCGCAUAACAACUUGGACCGCAUGGUCCGAGCUUGAAAGAUGGCUUCGGCAUCACUUUUGGAUGGUCCCGCGGCGUAUUAGCUAGAUGGUGGGGUAACGGCUCACCAUGGCAAUGAUACGUAGCCGACCUGAGAGGGUAAUCGGCCACAUUGGGACUGAGACACGGCCCAAACUCCUACGGGAGGCAGCAGUAGGGAAUCUUCCACAAUGGACGAAAGUCUGAUGGAGCAACGCCGCGUGAGUGAAGAAGGGUUUCGGCUCGUAAAACUCUGUUGUUAAAGAAGAACAUAUCUGAGAGUAACUGUUCAGGUAUUGACGGUAUUUAACCAGAAAGCCACGGCUAACUACGUGCCAGCAGCCGCGGUAAUACGUAGGUGGCAAGCGUUGUCCGGAUUUAUUGGGCGUAAAGCGAGCGCAGGCGGUUUUUUAAGUCUGAUGUGAAAGCCUUCGGCUCAACCGAAGAAGUGCAUCGGAAACUGGGAAACUUGAGUGCAGAAGAGGACAGUGGAACUCCAUGUGUAGCGGUGAAAUGCGUAGAUAUAUGGAAGAACACCAGUGGCGAAGGCGGCUGUCUGGUCUGUAACUGACGCUGAGGCUCGAAAGUAUGGGUAGCAAACAGGAUUAGAUACCCUGGUAGUCCAUACCGUAAACGAUGAAUGCUAAGUGUUGGAGGGUUUCCGCCCUUCAGUGCUGCAGCUAACGCAUUAAGCAUUCCGCCUGGGGAGUACGGCCGCAAGGCUGAAACUCAAAGGAAUUGACGGGGGCCCGCACAAGCGGUGGAGCAUGUGGUUUAAUUCGAAGCUACGCGAAGAACCUUACCAGGUCUUGACAUACUAUGCAAAUCUAAGAGAUUAGACGUUCCCUUCGGGGACAUGGAUACAGGUGGUGCAUGGUUGUCGUCAGCUCGUGUCGUGAGAUGUUGGGUUAAGUCCCGCAACGAGCGCAACCCUUAUUAUCAGUUGCCAGCAUUAAGUUGGGCACUCUGGUGAGACUGCCGGUGACAAACCGGAGGAAGGUGGGGAUGACGUCAAAUCAUCAUGCCCCUUAUGACCUGGGCUACACACGUGCUACAAUGGAUGGUACAACGAGUUGCGAACUCGCGAGAGUAAGCUAAUCUCUUAAAGCCAUUCUAGUUCGGAUUGUAGGCUGCAACUCGCCUACAUGAAGUCGGAAUCGCUAGUAAUCGCGGAUCAGCAUGCCGCGGUGAAUACGUUCCCGGGCCUUGUACACACCGCCCGUCACACCAUGAGAGUUUGUAACACCCAAAGUCGGUGGGGUAACCUUUUAGGAACCAGCCGCCUAAGGUGGGACAGAUGAUUAGGG